GGGCGGCUGGUCCAAUGGGACGACACCUGGCCUGCAACCAGGAAAUCGGGGUUCGACUCCCCGGCUGUCCA
Molecule: transfer RNA, 71 nt
Filed under: Isosphaeraceae bacterium
Lineage: Bacteria; Pseudomonadati; Planctomycetota; Planctomycetia; Isosphaerales; Isosphaeraceae
Description: tRNA-Ala
Rfam family: tRNA
About the family: Transfer RNA (tRNA) molecules are approximately 80 nucleotides in length.
Source: RNAcentral